This 228-nucleotide ribosomal RNA is filed under the name uncultured bacterium. RNAcentral's name for it is "partial 16S ribosomal RNA". It matches the Rfam family "Bacterial small subunit ribosomal RNA", at positions 568 to 795 of the family's 1533-position model. The record is from RNAcentral.
UACGUAGGCGGAAGAUUAAGUCAGUGGCGAAAUCCUGCAGCUUAACUGUAGAACUGUCAUUGAUACUGGUUUUCUUGAAUAUAGUUGAGGUAGGCGGAAUGUGUAAUGUAGCGGUGAAAUGCUUAGAUAUUACACAGAACACCGAUUGCGAAGGCAGCUUACUAAGCUAUGAUUGACGCUGAGGUACGAAAGCGUGGGGAGCGAACAGGAUUAGAUACCCUGGUAGUC